CCUACGGGGGGCUGCAGUGGGGAAUAUUGGACAAUGGGGGCAACCCUGAUCCAGCCAUGCCGCGUGUGUGAAGAAGGCCCUCGGGUUGUAAAGCACUUUCAGUGAGGAAGAACGCCUGGUGGUUAAUACCCAUCAGGAAAGACAUCACUCACAGAAGAAGCACCGGCUAACUCCGUGCCAGCAGCCGCGGUAAUACGGAGGGUGCGAGCGUUAAUCGGAAUUACUGGGCGUAAAGCGCGCGUAGGUGGCUUGAUAAGCCGGUUGUGAAAGCCCCGGGCUCAACCUGGGAACGGCAUCCGGAACUGUCAAGCUAGAGUGCAGGAGAGGAAGGUAGAAUUUCCGGUGUAGCGGUGAAAUGCGUAGAGAUCGGGAGGAAUACCAGUGGCGAAGGCGGCCUUCUGGACUGACACUGACACUGAGGUGCGAAAGCGUGGGUAGCAAACAGGAUUAGAUACCCCGGUAGUC
RNAcentral lists this ribosomal RNA (465 nucleotides) under Vreelandella stevensii. RNAcentral describes it as "partial 16S ribosomal RNA". It matches the Rfam family "Bacterial small subunit ribosomal RNA", at positions 338 to 795 of the family's 1533-position model. Lineage: Bacteria; Pseudomonadati; Pseudomonadota; Gammaproteobacteria; Oceanospirillales; Halomonadaceae. The record is from RNAcentral.